AUGGACGCCGCCGCAGAGGGAGUGGAAGAAUUAUUAACCAACUACCCCCAAUUCGUGGAUUAUCUUGAGAAUCGAGCACCGGAGGUCCCUCCGGUUGAAGACGACCGCAUGGAUUGGAUUGUCUCCCGAAUCAUCUCCCUUCUCCCCACACCCUUCGUCCCCGCAGCCGACUCCGACGACGACCAUUUCUCCCUCACCUCCUCCGACUCCGAGGACGCCGCCGCCGCCACCGACCGGCACGCCAUGCAGGAUGGUGGCGGCCAGGACCACAUCAGCGACCUCGUGGAUGACCUGCUCUCCAACAUCGUCUCCCGCCUCCCCACCAAGGAAGCCGCGCGGACAAUGGUCCUGUCUACCCGCUGGCGCUGCGUGUGGGCGGCGACUCCGCUCCUCCUCGACGACGCCCAUCUCAAGGCCGGGCUCGGCAAUUUCAACGCCGUGCGCGCCAUUUCGCGCUGCGUCGCCGCUCACCCCGGCCCCGUGCGUGCGGUGCGCAUCACCCGCACCUCCUUCCACCGGCAGGAGUACACGCUCGAGCCCCUGGUCGCCAGCCUUGCCGACAAGAACAUCCAGGACCUCAUCCUCUUCAACCGCCCCUGGCCGCUCGACAUGCCGCUCCCCGACAACAUCCUCAGCUGUGCCUCCCUCACCCGCCUCUACAUCGGCGUUUGA
RNAcentral lists this ribosomal RNA (672 nucleotides) under Triticum aestivum (bread wheat). RNAcentral describes it as "partial small subunit ribosomal RNA". Lineage: Eukaryota; Viridiplantae; Streptophyta; Magnoliopsida; Poales; Poaceae. The record is from RNAcentral.